Molecule: ribosomal RNA, 511 nt
Filed under: uncultured bacterium
Lineage: Bacteria
Description: bacterial SSU rRNA
Rfam family: Bacterial small subunit ribosomal RNA
Source: RNAcentral
GACGAACGCUGGCGGCGUGGAUUAGGCAUGCAAGUCGAACGGUAUCAUCCUUUCGGGGGUGAGAGAGUGGCGAACUGGUGAGUAACACGUAGGUUAUCUACCCUCAAGACGGGGACAACCCAGGGAAACUUGGGCUAAUACCGGAUGUGAGCAACUUUUAGUUGUUUGAAAGGUGGCGUAAGCUGUCGCUUGGGGAUGAGCCUGCGUCCUAUUAGUUAGUUGGUGAGGUAACGGCUCACCUAGGCAAUGAUAGGUAGGCGGCCUUAACGGGUGGUCGCCCACACUGGGAUUGAGAUACGGCCCAGACUCCUACGGGAGGCAGCAGUCGAGAAUAGUCUACAAUGGUCGGAAACUGAUAGUGCGACGCCGCGUGAACGAUGAAUCCCUUCGGGGUGUAAAAGUUCUUUUAUAUGUGAGCAGUGCUUCUUAUAUUAACAGUAUGGGGAAGAGAUAUUAGCAUAUGAAAUAAGCAAACGGCUAAACUCCGUGCCAGCCAGCCCGACGGUAAAAA